Molecule: transfer RNA, 69 nt
Filed under: Mauremys reevesii (Reeves's turtle)
Lineage: Eukaryota; Metazoa; Chordata; Testudines; Geoemydidae
Description: tRNA-Pro
Source: RNAcentral
CAAAACGUAGUUUAAUAAAGAUUCCGGUUUUGGGGACCGGGGAUGAAGGUUUGGAGCCUUCUCUUUUGA